RNAcentral lists this transfer RNA (74 nucleotides) under Protohalopteris sp. Its description in RNAcentral is "tRNA-Met". It matches the Rfam family "tRNA". From Rfam's summary of the family: Transfer RNA (tRNA) molecules are approximately 80 nucleotides in length. Their secondary structure includes four short double-helical elements and three loops (D, anti-codon, and T loops). Lineage: Eukaryota; Phaeophyceae; Sphacelariales; Stypocaulaceae. The record is from RNAcentral.
GGCGCUUUAGAGCAGCUUGGUAGCUCGUCAGGCUCAUGCCCUGAAGGUCGUGGGUUCAACUCCCUCAGGCGCUU